This 227-nucleotide ribosomal RNA is filed under the name uncultured fungus. Its description in RNAcentral is "partial 18S ribosomal RNA". It matches the Rfam family "Eukaryotic small subunit ribosomal RNA", at positions 40 to 274 of the family's 1831-position model. Lineage: Eukaryota; Fungi. The record is from RNAcentral.
AAGAUUAAGCCAUGCAUGUCUAAGUACAUACCUUUGCACGGUGAAACCGCGAAUGGCUCAUUAAAUCAGUUAUGGUUCCUUAGAUCGUUCAUAUUACAUGGAUAACUGUGGUAAUUCUAGAGCUAAUACAUGCAUAAAAUCUCGACCCUUUGGAAGAGAUGUAUUUAUUAGAUAAAAUCAAUGUCUUCGGACUCUUUGAUGAUUCAUAAUAACUUUUCGAAUCGCAU